Molecule: small RNA, 117 nt
Filed under: Papio anubis (olive baboon)
Lineage: Eukaryota; Metazoa; Chordata; Mammalia; Primates; Cercopithecidae
Description: Metazoan signal recognition particle RNA (ENSPANG00000039185.1)
Source: Rfam by way of RNAcentral
GCUGGGUGCGGUGGCUCACGCCUGUAAUCCCAGCACUUUGGGAGGCUGAGACGGGUGGAUCACCUGAGGUCAGGAGUUCGAGACCAGCCUGGCCAACAUGGUGAAACCCCGUCUCUU